UCAAGUGAAGAAGCGCAUACGGUGGAUGCCUUGGCAGUCAGAGGCGAUGAAAGACGUGGUAGCCUGCGAAAAGCUUCGGGGAGUCGGCAAACAGACUUUGAUCCGGAGAUCUCUGAAUGGGGGAACCCACCUAGGAUAACCUAGGUAUCUUGUACUGAAUCCAUAGGUGCAAGAGGCGAACCAGGGGAACUGAAACAUCUAAGUACCCUGAGGAAAAGAAAUCAACCGAGAUUCCCUUAGUAGUGGCGAGCGAACGGGGAUUAGCCCUUAAGCUUCAUUGAUUUUAGCGGAACGCUCUGGAAAGUGCGGCCAUAGUGGGUGAUAGCCCCGUACGCGAAAGGAUCUUUGAAGUGAAAUCGAGUAGGACGGAGCACGAGAAACUUUGUCUGAACAUGGGGGGACCAUCCUCCAAGGCUAAAUACUACUGACUGACCGAUAGUGAACCAGUACCGUGAGGGAAAGGCGAAAAGAACCCCGGAGAGGGGAGUGAAAUAGAACCUGAAACCGUAUGCGUACAAGCAGUGGGAGCCUACUUGUUAGGUGACUGCGUACCUUUUGUAUAAUGGGUCAGCGACUUAUAUUCAGUGGCAAGCUUAACCGUAUAGGGUAGGCGUAGCGAAAGCGAGUCUUAAUAGGGCGUUUAGUCGCUGGGUAUAGACCCGAAACCGGGCGAUCUAUCCAUGAGCAGGUUGAAGGUUAGGUAACACUGACUGGAGGACCGAACCCACUCCCGUUGAAAAGGUAGGGGAUGACUUGUGGAUCGGAGUGAAAGGCUAAUCAAGCUCGGAGAUAGCUGGUUCUCCUCGAAAGCUAUUUAGGUAGCGCCUCAUGUAUCACUCUGGGGGGUAGAGCACUGUUUCGGCUAGGGGGUCAUCCCGACUUACCAAACCGAUGCAAACUCCGAAUACCCAGAAGUGCCGAGCAUGGGAGACACACGGCGGGUGCUAACGUCCGUCGUGAAAAGGGAAACAACCCAGACCGCCAGCUAAGGUCCCAAAGUUGUGGUUAAGUGGUAAACGAUGUGGGAAGGCUUAGACAGCUAGGAGGUUGGCUUAGAAGCAGCCAUCCUUUAAAGAAAGCGUAAUAGCUCACUAGUCGAGUCGGCCUGCGCGGAAGAUGUAACGGGGCUCAAACCACACACCGAAGCUGCGGGUGUCACGUAAGUGACGCGGUAGAGGAGCGUUCUGUAAGCCUGUGAAGGUGAGUUGAGAAGCUUGCUGGAGGUAUCAGAAGUGCGAAUGCUGACAUGAGUAACGACAAUGGGUGUGAAAAACACCCACGCCGAAAGACCAAGGGUUCCUGCGCAACGUUAAUCGACGCAGGGUUAGUCGGUUCCUAAGGCGAGGCUGAAAAGCGUAGUCGAUGGGAAACAGGUUAAUAUUCCUGUACUUCUGGUUACUGCGAUGGAGGGACGGAGAAGGCUAGGCCAGCUUGGCGUUGGUUGUCCAAGUUUAAGGUGGUAGGCUGAAAUCUUAGGUAAAUCCGGGGUUUCAAGGCCGAGAGCUGAUGACGAGUCGUCUUUUAGAUGACGAAGUGGUUGAUGCCAUGCUUCCAAGAAAAGCUUCUAAGCUUCAGGUAACCAGGAACCGUACCCCAAACCGACACAGGUGGUCGGGUAGAGAAUACCAAGGCGCUUGAGAGAACUCGGGUGAAGGAACUAGGCAAAAUGGCACCGUAACUUCGGGAGAAGGUGCGCCGGCGUAGAUUGUAGUCCCUUGCGGAUGAAGGUUGAACCGGUCGAAGAUACCAGCUGGCUGCAACUGUUUAUUAAAAACACAGCACUCUGCAAACACGAAAGUGGACGUAUAGGGUGUGAUGCCUGCCCGGUGCUGGAAGGUUAAUUGAUGGUGUAAUCGAAAGAGAAGCUCCUGAUCGAAGCCCCAGUAAACGGCGGCCGUAACUAUAACGGUCCUAAGGUAGCGAAAUUCCUUGUCGGGUAAGUUCCGACCUGCACGAAUGGCGUAACGAUGGCGGCGCUGUCUCCACCCGAGACUCAGUGAAAUUGAAAUCGCUGUGAAGAUGCAGUGUAUCCGCGGCUAGACGGAAAGACCCCGUGAACCUUUACUGUAGCUUUGCACUGGACUUUGAGCCUGCUUGUGUAGGAUAGGUGGGAGGCUUUGAAGCGUGGACGCCAGUUCGCGUGGAGCCAUCCUUGAAAUACCACCCUGGCAUGCUUGAGGUUCUAACUCUGGUCCGUGAUCCGGAUCGAGGACAGUGUAUGGUGGGCAGUUUGACUGGGGCGGUCUCCUCCUAAAGAGUAACGGAGGAGUACGAAGGUGCGCUCAGACCGGUCGGAAAUCGGUCGCAGAGUAUAAAGGCAAAAGCGCGCUUGACUGCGAGACAGACACGUCGAGCAGGUACGAAAGUAGGUCUUAGUGAUCCGGUGGUUCUGUAUGGAAGGGCCAUCGCUCAACGGAUAAAAGGUACUCCGGGGAUAACAGGCUGAUACCGCCCAAGAGUUCAUAUCGACGGCGGUGUUUGGCACCUCGAUGUCGGCUCAUCACAUCCUGGGGCUGAAGUAGGUCCCAAGGGUAUGGCUGUUCGCCAUUUAAAGUGGUACGCGAGCUGGGUUUAGAACGUCGUGAGACAGUUCGGUCCCUAUCUGCCGUGGACGUUUGAGAUUUGAGAGGGGCUGCUCCUAGUACGAGAGGACCGGAGUGGACGAACCUCUGGUGUUCCGGUUGUCACGCCAGUGGCAUUGCCGGGUAGCUAUGUUCGGAAAAGAUAACCGCUGAAAGCAUCUAAGCGGGAAACUUGCCUCAAGAUGAGAUCUCACUGGGAACUUGAUUCCCCUGAAGGGCCGUCGAAGACUACGACGUUGAUAGGCUGGGUGUGUAAGCGUUGUGAGGCGUUGAGCUAACCAGUACUAAUUGCCCGUGAGGCUUGACCAU
Molecule: ribosomal RNA, 2891 nt
Filed under: human gut metagenome
Description: bacterial LSU rRNA
Rfam family: Bacterial large subunit ribosomal RNA
Source: RNAcentral